GGUAAUAUGGCUGAGCAUAGGCAGUAAAUUGUAAAUUUACUUACGAACAUAUAUUCUAUUACCA
Molecule: transfer RNA, 64 nt
Filed under: Uloma sp. BMNH 1425257
Lineage: Eukaryota; Metazoa; Arthropoda; Insecta; Coleoptera; Tenebrionidae
Description: tRNA-Tyr
Source: RNAcentral